RNAcentral lists this microRNA precursor (86 nucleotides) under Echinops telfairi (small Madagascar hedgehog). Its description in RNAcentral is "miRNA (ENSETEG00000023756.1)". Lineage: Eukaryota; Metazoa; Chordata; Mammalia; Afrosoricida; Tenrecidae. The record is from RNAcentral.
GGGCCUGCUUCUCAAGGAGCUUAGAAUCCAGCUGGGAAGAAACUGGGCAAGUGCAGGAAUUACUGUGAGAAACAGUGCAAGGUGCC